AAAGAACAAAGGUCUUUUUCACCAGAUCACAAAGACUCACGGGACAAUAAUCUGUGUGUCUACGGGGGUGGUGCUGUUACUCCUAAUUGUCUCCAUUCUGGUGCAAGUCAAGCAGCCACGUAAGAAGGUGUUGGUUCGUAAGAACAACUUGUUUCCUCGUGCUGACUUCCAGGAGGUGUUUGACCCUCCUCACUAUGAACUCUUUAAUCUCAGAGACAAGGAGAUUUCUUCAAGAGACCUUGGG
Long non-coding RNA from Oreochromis niloticus (Nile tilapia), 244 nucleotides. RefSeq lists it as uncharacterized. The transcript has 3 exons. The record is from RefSeq and is a predicted model, not a curated record. NCBI's taxonomy places the organism in Eukaryota, Metazoa, Chordata, Actinopteri, Cichliformes, Cichlidae.